AUUGGAUCCAGUGGUGUGUUUCCAGUUGUAUGAAGGAUAGCUGUAUUAUGUAAAGUGUAAUUAUGACCUUUUUAUUGUCUUUAUUUGAAGAUCAUGUAUUAUCUCGUACGGGUUCAGGUUUGACAAGGGGUAGACUUGUGAUGGUUAAUAGUUAGUGUCAACUUGAUUGGAACGAAGGACACAAAGUAUUGAUCCUGGGUGUGUCUGUGAAGGUGUUGCCAAAGGAGAUUAACAUCAGUGCAGCAAGAAUAUAAGCAAGCAGAAAAAUGUGAACAGAGACUGACCUAGCUUCCCAACCUACAACUUUCUUCCAUGCUAAUGCUUCCUGCCCUUGCACAUCGGACUCCAACUUCUUCAGUUUUGGAACUUGGACUGGCUCUCCUUGCUCCUUAGCCUGCCGACGGCCUACUGUGGGACCUUGUGAUCAUACAAAAAAGAUGGAAUUUGGAGGACAAGACAAGAGAUACUAAGAAGAGUAAACCCAAUAAACAGACUGCAGCACAGAAAGGGUCCAGGACCAGGGAGGUGGCUUGUUCAGGAAAGAGUUAACUCAACAGGUCUGGGAUAUUCAAAUCCCACACAUUUCGAAAAAAAGUUCUCUCCUCAUUGGCUCCUGGGAGAAAAUCUCUACGUCUUUGGACUAUUCUUCCAGAUUGGAGACUGAAAAGAAGAGAAGUUAAGGAACUUGUCUAAGAUUAUCAAGCAAAAAUUUAAAGCUGAAGUUUCAAUAUUUUCUCAGAAAACAAGAAAAGUUAGUGAUCUCAUUAUAGAAAUCUGUUGCCCAGGGAAGAGGAAAUGGUGCCAUUUUUUUUUUUCAAGAUUUUCUAUUGGGCAUGAAAAUUGCACUAAUUUUCCAGGGUGUUGGAAGAAAUUACAAAAUCUUGAAAACCUAUUAUACAUAAAAUAGACUUACUGUUGUUUUCAUAGGACUCUUCACAUUCUUUAGGACAAUCAGUUUACUUUAUAUAUUUUAUAGUAAACAGUGAACAAGUUAAGAGGAGGGACAUGAUUGUAUGUAUAUUCGUAUUACCAACAUUUAGUGCAGUGUUUUAUGUAUGUGUAUUAGAUUCUUAGAAAAAUACUUGAGAAAAUAAAUCUUGCCCCUUCCUCAAUUUUUCUAAGCAGGAAUGAUUGGACUCUAGUACCUACAAGUAGAUAAAGUAAUCUGGACAGAGCAAUAUAAAAUAACCAUCUCUGCGGUAUGGCUGUCCCUUGAAUUACCCUGCACAAAGAAAUGCCAGAAUGGCAUUAAUCUAAAUGCUAGGUGGGAAAAAUGAACACACUGCCUUCUAAAUCACAUCAGCAUAGAGGAGAUUAAUGACUAUUAUUUAAAGACUAAAUCAAAAGAUUGCAGUAAAGGCAGUGCUUCCAUUUUGGUAUAAAUUUAAAAUAUUUGCCCAUUACAGACUAGCAUGGCAGUCUCUUGAGUUUUAGUGAAAAUUUAAUUCAACAAUUGAAGUAACAUUUGGUGCUUUCACAAGUGAUAACACUUUUUUUGUUUGGUCAAUACAGGACAUUAUAGUUUGUAAAGUAUUUUGUGAUAUUUUAGCCUCUUUAUUCUUCACGCAAAAAAACUGAAGGUAGAUAUUAUUGGGUUAUUUUUAUUUUGUGAAGGAGAAAAUUAGAGAGGCUAUUUAGCAGUUAGGUGGUGCUCGCUCUCUUGCACUCUGACACUUAAAAGUAUGUGUUUACUAUCUCUAUUCCCCAAGAUCCACAAACAUUUCUACUUUGCUUACUUUUCUGUCUUUACUACAUUGCACAAUCGCCAGCCCUGAGUAGGUGUAAGAAAGAUAUUUUAAGAUAAAUUAGGGAUCGUUAUUUUCACUAUAUUUCACUGCCAAGACACUGUGCUAGGUCCUGGGGUUAUACAAAAUUAAGACAGAUUUUUAUACUCAAAUUCUUUGCAAUAUAUUAGGAAGUUGUAGUGAAAAUGUCAUUCUAGAAGGAAGGACAGAAGAAAGGAAGAAAGGAAGGAAAGAGGAAAAGAUAGUAGGAUUAAGAAAUAAUACUCUUUUGUAAUAGGCAGAAUAAUGGCUCCCCCAAAAUAUCCAUGCCCUAAUUCCUGAGAUUUGUGAAUAUGGUAUCUUCUGUGGCCAAAGAGACUUUACAAAUCUGAUUGGCAUCCUGGACCUUGAGAGGAGAUUAUUGUGGUGGGCCAAUAUAAUCACGUGAGUCCUUAAAAGCAUGGAAACCUUCUCAGGUAUGGUGAGAUAGAGAGAGAGAGAGAGGAGUAAAAGUGAUGUGAUAGGAGGAGCUGACCUGCAUUUGGCAUCUUUGAAGAUGGGGCAAAAGACCCAUGAACCAGAAAGUGAGGGCAGAUUCUAGCAGCUGACAAGAAAAUAGAUUCUCCUCUAAAACUUCCUGAAAGGAAUACAGUUCUUCAGACACUUUGAUUUUAGUUCAGUGAAUCCCUUGGCCCUCCAACCCACAGAAAUGUCAGACGAAUACAUUUGUAUCACUUAAGCAACUAAGUUUGUGGUAAUUUGUUAGAGCAGCAAUAGAAAACUGAUGUAUCUUUUUUUUCCACCUGAAUGGCACAGGAAAUAUAAAACUGGGAAAACUGUUCAUUAGAAUUGAAAGCAAGGCAAAAGAACCAUCUUAGUUCAGACUUCUGUGUUUUCUACUACACACAGCAGAAAUAGAUUGAAAUUAAAGGACCCACCAGCCUACAUCUCAAAACUUUCCUUUGAAAUAAGAACAUGUCUUUCCUCCCAAAUAAACCAGAAGAGAGCCUAUAUCCCAUGAAUUGCCUUGACAGGAAAACGGCUGACAGGGACAGGCCGUGAGAUUCCAAACAAGUAUUUUAACUAGAACGCCUUUCGUUACUACAGAUUAGCAGAUGUCAUAGCAAUGGUAAUGUCAUUACUCAAGAUUUCCUGACAGAAAGCCUGUAGUAGUGUACAGGUCUAGUAGUGACAUCUUCCUGUUCCCAACAGAAAGCCUGUAGUAGCAGGGAGCAGUUUUUGAGAGUCUUCUUUGACGCAGGAAAUGUUUAAUAAUCUGGAUAGGACCUGAGAAUUCAGAUGACUGUGUAGUUGUACUUAAUAUACGCAGCUUUUGGUGGAGAUAGUAGUAGCCCCAGAGAAAGUUUUUACUUGGCAGUAAAGUUCUUUGCUGUCUUAAUGAUUAUUUUAGUCAACAAAUGAUCUUAAGAAUCAAGGCUCUUCCUUCUCUGGAAAGAGGCAUAUUAACACUGGGUUUAGAAGUUAAUUCAGUACAUUUGUCCCAAAUAGGAUAAUCUAUGCAAAGAUGAAUUUUGCCUACCAGGAUUGUCAAAGUGCUAAAUCAUGCAAACUCUUCUCUGCAUAAUAUUUAUUUAUUUAUUUUUGUCUCUUAGUUCCUAUUGUCAUUCCAUGCUUUCCUCUAUAUUUCUAAGGGACUAAAAGCCUGCAAAGUAUAUUUUUGUUAACUCCAAAGGACAGACUUUCAGGGCAGUUUACCAGGAGACAGCUUUUACAAUGAGUGCACUGGCAAGAGGAAGGAAAAAGCCAUUUUUGCUGCUUCAUGUGUUGCCUACACAGAGACUGUUACAGUGGCUUCAGCAGAGUCAGUGGUUGUGUCAACAGCAUCUGGAGCAGAGAGGGCAAGCUUAGUUCAUAUGAAGCAGCAAUAGCAACAGAAGAAAAGGCAGUGACAUCACCCUCAGCUUGUUGGAGGUAAGUGUGACCUUAUGGACUAAGGCAAGUGACCGUAACACUCUCCAAUGGCUGCUCACCAUCCCCUUCAUAAUCUCCAGUCACUUCUCCAGAAAACCCCUUCCUUUAACUCUCUAGAACUCUCUGCCAUCAAUUUAUUUAUUUCUAUUCCUGUCUGUUUGAUAUCACCAGAGAGGCUUUCAUUUCCCAACUAAACUUUGGCUGCUUUGGUAUUUGUUAAAGAAGCAAACUCAGAAAUAGGCUUUCAAGGAUUGGAAUGUGAGUUUGUUAAUCUAUUUGUCAUCUGAAAGUUGUGACUUUUUUGCCAGUGAAUAAUGGGCUAUUUCUGUUUCAUGUCAGCAAAUGCAAAACUGUACAUCAACUGGAUUAAAUUAAAGGCAAGUAUGUGAGGCUGAAAUGGGCUAUUUUGCUUGAUUAUAAUGGUAGGAAUGAUGAGUACAUUGUGGAAUACAUGGGCUACUUCUGAUUGCACUGGAAGAGCUCAGUCAGUGUACAUUCAGAAACACUGAAACCAUCAGAGAUAUUUCAGUCUCCAUCGGCCCCCUUCCAGAGGCACCACAAUAUGCAGAGAAUAAAGGACUCCUUUCUUACUCCCACCUUCCAAUUCAUUAUUACUUCCCCAUGGCAGAAGCUAAAUAAUCAAGAUGGUAAAGGAUCAGUGGAAAUAAAGUUUUUAGGCUUCCAGCUUCCUGCAGGGAAGGGAAAUCACAAAAGGUUAGAGCAGAGCUAAGUGCCUAUAGACAAAUAACCAGCUCAGUGAUUACAUUGUUAACAAGUUUUAUAGUUGGCCCU
This 4448-nucleotide long non-coding RNA is filed under the name Homo sapiens (human). RNAcentral's name for it is "HSALNT0063733". The record is from RNAcentral. Lineage: Eukaryota; Metazoa; Chordata; Mammalia; Primates; Hominidae.